UACAGAGGUCUCAAGCGUUGUUCGGAUUCAUUGGGCGUAAAGGGCGCGUAGGCGGCCUGACAAGUGGAUGGUGAAAUCCCUCGGCUUAACCGAGGAACUGCCAUCCAGACUGUUUGGCUUGAGACCGGGAGAGGUGAGUGGAAUUCCCAGUGUAGCGGUGAAAUGCGUAGAUAUUGGGAGGAACACCAGUGGCGAAGGCGGCUCACUGGACCGGUACUGACGCUGAUGCGCGAAAGCGUGGGGAGCAAACGGG
RNAcentral lists this ribosomal RNA (253 nucleotides) under uncultured bacterium. RNAcentral's name for it is "partial 16S ribosomal RNA". It matches the Rfam family "Bacterial small subunit ribosomal RNA", at positions 524 to 776 of the family's 1533-position model. The record is from RNAcentral.